AUAUAAUAAUAGCUGUAAUAAUAAAAUAUAAUAUACCUGUCCUGCAGGUCACACGUCUCACAGGUUUUCUCUGGAUCUGGACUCUCAGGAUUUGGACAGCUCCUGUGAGAGCCAGAAGAGCUCAUUCGAUUCACUCGCCAGGAAGCAGCAGCAUCACGAAUGGCCUCCUGCUAAAGGAGAAACCGACGGCAGCUUCACCAACCACAGCAAACCUGCGCAGGGAUUGGCGGAUCAGAACUGGUAUGUUGGUGCGGUUAGUCGUGUGGACGCUGAACACGCUCUUCACCUGGUCAACCGGGUAUAACACACCUUCAUUUCACUCCAGCAUCAUCACAUUUGUUAACAGUUCAGAGACACAAGAACGUACAGAAAUCACACUCAGAAAACAAACAUGUGGACUGUGCGUGCUCUGAACUGAAGGAUUGGGGUGGUUCAGAACCACAACCGGCUGGUUCGGACCGGGAAGCUUGAUGCGCUGAUCCGCUUUCAGAGGAGUUAACCUCAGUUUUUGAUCUUCGGUUGAGAAUCGAGGAAGGCCCAUUCCAACCGACGAUGACCUGCGUUUCUUGGCUUUUCUCUUUUCUUUCUUGUGUUUUUUACGUGGUGGAGAGUCUUGGUGCUUCUCUUCUCUUUCACAAAGGU
Molecule: long non-coding RNA, 642 nt
Filed under: Sinocyclocheilus grahami
Lineage: Eukaryota; Metazoa; Chordata; Actinopteri; Cypriniformes; Cyprinidae
Description: lncRNA (ENSSGRG00000021526.1)
Source: RNAcentral